Molecule: ribosomal RNA, 253 nt
Filed under: uncultured bacterium
Lineage: Bacteria
Description: partial 16S ribosomal RNA
Rfam family: Bacterial small subunit ribosomal RNA
Source: RNAcentral
UACGUAGGGAGCAAGCGUUGUUCGGAUUUACUGGGCGUAAAGAGCUCGUAGGCGGUCUGUCGCGUCGGCUGUGAAAGCCCGGGGCUCAACCCCGGGCCUGCAGUCGAUACGGGCAGACUAGAGUGUGGUAGGGGAGACUGGAAUUCCUGGUGUAGCGGUGAAAUGCGCAGAUAUCAGGAGGAACACCGGUGGCGAAGGCGGGUCUCUGGGCCAUAACUGACGCUGAGGAGCGAAAGCGUGGGGAGCGAACAGG